Molecule: transfer RNA, 72 nt
Filed under: Bos taurus (domestic cattle)
Lineage: Eukaryota; Metazoa; Chordata; Mammalia; Artiodactyla; Bovidae
Also listed under: 4 other names
Rfam family: tRNA
About the family: Transfer RNA (tRNA) molecules are approximately 80 nucleotides in length. Their secondary structure includes four short double-helical elements and three loops (D, anti-codon, and T loops).
Source: Rfam by way of RNAcentral
UCCCUGAUAUUUCAGUUGGUAAAGAAUCUGCCUUCAAUGCAGGAGACCUGGGUUCGAUUCCUGGGUUCGGAA